GAACGAGAAAGUGGAGCAAUCCAUGAGUAAAGUGGCGACCGGGUGAGUAACACGUGACUGACCUACCUCCGAGUGGGGAAUAACUCCGGGAAACCGGGGCUAAUACCGCAUAACAUCGCAAGAUCAAAGCAGCAAUGCGCUUGGAGAGGGGGUCGCGGCUGAUUAGCUAGUUGGCGGGGUAACGGCCCACCAAGGCGAAGAUCGGUAUCCGGCCUGAGAGGGCGCACGGACACACUGGAACUGAAACACGGUCCAGACUCCUACGGGAGGCAGCAGUGGGGAAUUUUGCGCAAUGGGGGAAACCCUGACGCAGCAACGCCGCGUGGAGGAUGAAGCCCUUUGGGGCGUAAACUCCUUUCGACUCGGACGAUAAUGACGGUGCGAGUGGAAGAAGCACCGGCUAACUCUGUG
Molecule: ribosomal RNA, 411 nt
Filed under: uncultured bacterium
Lineage: Bacteria
Description: bacterial SSU rRNA
Rfam family: Bacterial small subunit ribosomal RNA
Source: RNAcentral